This 501-nucleotide ribosomal RNA is filed under the name uncultured bacterium. RNAcentral describes it as "partial 16S ribosomal RNA". It matches the Rfam family "Bacterial small subunit ribosomal RNA", at positions 30 to 523 of the family's 1533-position model. The record is from RNAcentral.
AUUGAACGCUGGCGGCAGGCUUAACACAUGCAAGUCGAGCGGAGAUGAGGUGCUUGCACCUUAUCUUAGCGGCGGACGGGUGAGUAAUGCUUAGGAAUCUGCCUAUUAGUGGGGGACAACAUUCCGAAAGGAAUGCUAAUACCGCAUACGUCCUACGGGAGAAAGCAGGGGAUCUUCGGACCUUGCGCUAAUAGAUGAGCCUAAGUCGGAUUAGCUAGUUGGUGGGGUAAAGGCCUACCAAGGCGACGAUCUGUAGCGGGUCUGAUAGGAUGAACCGGCACGCAGGCGCCGAGACACGGCCCAGACGCCUGCGGGAGGCAGCAGUUGGGAAUAUUGGAGAAUGGGGGAAACCCUGAUCCAGCCAUGCCGGGUGUGUGAAGAAGGCCUUAUGGUUGUAAAGCACUUUAAGCGAGGAGGAGGCUACUGAGACUAAUACUCUUGGAUAGUGGACGUUACUCGCAGAAUAAGCACCGGCUAACUCUGUGCCAGCCGCCGCAGUAA